GGCUCGAAAGAGAGCCGUAACACAGGUGCUGCAUGGCUGUCGUCAGCUCGUGUCGUGAGAUGUUGGGUUAAGUCCCGCAACGAGCGCAACCCUUGUCAUUAGUUGCUACAUUCAGUUGGGCACUCUAAUGAGACUGCCGGUGACAAGCCGGAGGAAGGUGGGGAUGACGUCAAGUCCUCAUGGCCCUUAUAGGUGGGGCUACACACGUCAUACAAUGGCUGGUACAAAGGGUUGCCAACCCGCGAGGGGGAGCUAAUCCCAUAAAGCCAGUCGUAGUCCGGAUCGUAGUCUGCAACUCGACUACGUGAAGUCGGAAUCGCUAGUAAUCGUGGAUCAGAAUGUCACGGUGAAUACGUUCCCGGGUCUU
This 367-nucleotide ribosomal RNA is filed under the name uncultured Rhodoferax sp. Its description in RNAcentral is "bacterial SSU rRNA". It matches the Rfam family "Bacterial small subunit ribosomal RNA", at positions 1013 to 1382 of the family's 1533-position model. Lineage: Bacteria; Pseudomonadati; Pseudomonadota; Betaproteobacteria; Burkholderiales; Comamonadaceae. The record is from RNAcentral.